GAAAGAAUAAUUAAAAUAUAAUUUUAGUUUGUGGAAUUAAGCUUAAUGGUUAAAAUCCAUUUUUUUUCC
This 69-nucleotide transfer RNA is filed under the name Tropiometra macrodiscus. RNAcentral's name for it is "tRNA-His". It matches the Rfam family "tRNA". From Rfam's summary of the family: Transfer RNA (tRNA) molecules are approximately 80 nucleotides in length. Their secondary structure includes four short double-helical elements and three loops (D, anti-codon, and T loops). Further hydrogen bonds mediate the characteristic L-shaped molecular structure. tRNAs have two regions of fundamental functional importance: the anti-codon, which is responsible for specific mRNA codon recognition, and the 3' end, to which the tRNAs corresponding amino acid is attached (by aminoacyl-tRNA synthetases). tRNAs cope with the degeneracy of the genetic code in two manners: having more than one tRNA (with a specific anti-codon) for a particular amino acid; and 'wobble' base-pairing, i.e. permitting non-standard base-pairing at the 3rd anti-codon position. Lineage: Eukaryota; Metazoa; Echinodermata; Crinoidea; Comatulida; Tropiometridae. The record is from RNAcentral.